Long non-coding RNA from Lineus longissimus, 342 nucleotides. RefSeq lists it as uncharacterized. The record is from RefSeq and is a predicted model, not a curated record. Lineage: Eukaryota; Metazoa; Nemertea; Pilidiophora; Heteronemertea; Lineidae. The transcript is spliced from 3 exons.
AGCGACUGUUCUCCCAGAACAUUUCUUUGCCUUGAGUGCAUCAGGAAAGCUCACUUGUUUCAGUAUUUUCACAUGAUGUAUAUUUGGAGGAUUAACGCAUGGGUACCCUUCUCUCCUGAUGAUGUGAUUAUAGAUUCCUUCGUACAUCCGCAUUGCAGUCACACCUACUUCCGAGAUAUAAUAGUUGUUGAUGCCAAAGGCAGACAUCAUAAAGCCAAAUGUCAAUUCUGUCCCUGUGAGGAAGAGGCAACAACCCUGAUAAGGCACCACUUUUGGCCGUCAUCACCUAAGAAACCAAAGAUGUGCUUCGACUUCCAUAUCAUGGAAAUGCUGCGGGUGUUG